RNAcentral lists this ribosomal RNA (786 nucleotides) under Clostridioides difficile. RNAcentral describes it as "bacterial LSU rRNA". It matches the Rfam family "Bacterial large subunit ribosomal RNA", at positions 1769 to 2553 of the family's 2925-position model. The record is from RNAcentral. Lineage: Bacteria; Bacillati; Bacillota; Clostridia; Peptostreptococcales; Peptostreptococcaceae.
UCAGGUGGCCGCAGAGAAUAGGCCCAAGCGACUGUUUACCAAAAACAUAGGUUUCUGCUAAGUCGCAAGACGAUGUAUAGGAGCUGACGCCUGCCCGGUGCUGGAAGGUUAAGGGGAUCUGUUAGAGCAAUCGAAGCAGUGAACUUAAGCCCCAGUAAACGGCGGCCGUAACUAUAACGGUCCUAAGGUAGCGAAAUUCCUUGUCGGGUAAGUUCCGACCCGCACGAAAGGCGUAACGAUUUGGGCACUGUCUCAACAACAGACUCGGUGAAAUUGUAAUUCCGGUGAAGAUGCCGGAUACCUGCGACAGGACGGAAAGACCCCAUGGAGCUUUACUGUAGCUUGACAUUGGGUCUUGGUACUACAUGUACAGGAUAGGUGGGAGGCUUUGAAACCAGGACGACAGUUUUGGCGGAGCCAUCCUUGGGAUACCACCCUUGUAGUACUGGGACUCUAACCAUAGGCCAUGAAUCUGGUCUUGGGACACUGUCAGGUGGGCAGUUUGACUGGGGCGGUCGCCUCCCAAAAGGUAACGGAGGCGCUCAAAGGUUCUCUCAGUACGGUCGGAAAUCGUACGUAGAGUGUAAAGGCAAAAGAGAGCUUGAUUGCAAGACAUACAGGUCGAGCAAGGAUGAAAAUCGGACUUAGUGAUCCGGUGGUUCUGCGUGGAAGGGCCAUCGCUCAACGGAUAAAAGCUACCCUGGGGAUAACAGGCUUAUCUCCCCCAAGAGUCCACAUCGACGGGGAGGUUUGGCACCUCGAUGUCGGCUCAUCACAUCCUGGGGC